GAUCAUGUGACAGUAAUAUGGUGCAGUGGCUGCUGGGAAAUGAAAUCCAGAGUUACCUCCUUGAUAUAUGACAGAGGUGUGUGCAUUUUAUAUUAGCGAAAAUUGGAUGCAAUGUUAUGUUGCUUUAAAUACCAUAAAGGAACACAAGAAUAAUGAAAUGUUGUUUGUUGUAGACAUUGAUUUGCAUUAUGCCCGUAUUUCACUUCCAAUGCAGCAAUACUGGGUUAUAAACCACAACAGAAAUAGAUCUAGCAAAACCAGGAACUGUUUUAGUUUUCCCUUGAUGAAAGAACUUAACUGUCAAAACAUAUACUUUGCCUAAUAAAAAAUUACAUUUUGAACAUUGACUUCAUUUCUUAUAAAUAUGAUGUUCUUUAUUAGGGUAUACAAUUAUACAGUAUUUUGUUUGAAAGUUUUCUUGGAAUAGGCUCCAGAUCCACUGUGACCCUGAUCAGGAUAAAGCACUUACUAGAUAUGAAUGAUGAAUGAUACACAGUGCUGAGGGAGUGAAAUGAAUUGUAGAACCCCAGUCCACAUCUCAGUCACAUCUGACAAUUGAUCACACCCUCCACUGUCACGUGAAUGCUGCAUUGAAAUAUAAAAAGCCCACUUCCUUUCUGUGAACUUAAAUAUCAGCAGGGCACAUGCAACAGUUCCUUUCUAUCAUUUUCAGACCUUAGUGAGUUCAGUUUAACUCUGAGACACUGAUAAGUGCAUUAUUUAAUUUAACUUUUUAGCUGUUGGCUAUAUAUUUUCUCACCACUUGGGGUUACUACUAUGAACACAGGUUAAGACUCUAAUGAAAAGUAGUAGUGAGGUAAGGAAAUGGACAUUUAUGAAAAUUGUGACUUCUCCAAAAGGAAUAACAGUGAAAACCGUAAUUCUCCAACAGGUAGAUAUCAUAUAUGUUGAUAUGUUUAAAUAUAUGUAAAUAUUUAAAUUUGUUAUGGUUGAAAUUUGAUAUAUGGUAGCAUUGUAAAUAAGAGGUUUUCACUUAUCAGACGAAGAAACAGAGGAUGAUUACGAGAAUACGCAGCAAUGCCGUCCAAAGCCCAAACAAUGCACCGCUUCAUCAGUCAGAUUUGACUACAAGAUCAUUAUACUUGUUCUUGGUCUUCUCCUAAUGCUUGGUGCUUUAACGUCACUCUGUGCUAUAGGGAUCUUGUAUCACAGAAAAGUUGUUUCCAGUGAGAAACUAAGUGAGAAGUAUAAGAAUGCCACAGCCACACUGAUGGUGCUAGAAGACAAAGCCAAUGAGACAGAACAACUGUAUGAAAUGCUGAAGAUGAAGUAUCAGGAAGUUCAUGAACGUCUCUCUGCAUGUAAUGGUAAGCCCCCCCC
Ictalurus punctatus (channel catfish) is the source of this 1341-nucleotide long non-coding RNA. RefSeq lists it as uncharacterized. The transcript is spliced from 4 exons. NCBI's taxonomy places the organism in Eukaryota, Metazoa, Chordata, Actinopteri, Siluriformes, Ictaluridae. The record is from RefSeq and is a predicted model, not a curated record.